GCGAACGACGGACCAGCAGCGGGGGGAAUACGUAGGUGACGGGCGUUAUGCGGAAUGAAUAGGCUGAAAGCGAACGCAGGCGGCUUAAUAAGUCUGACGUGAAAUCUCGCGGCUUAACCGGGAGGGGUCGUUGGGGACUGUUUGGCUUGAGGCGAUGAGAGGGGUGUAGAAUUCCCGGUGUAGUGGUGGAAUGCGUAGAUAUCGGGAGGAACACCAGAGGCGAAAGCGGCGCACUGGACAGCAACUGACACUCAACUGCGAAAGCGUGGGUAGCAAACAGGAUUAGAUACCCGGGUAGUC
This 300-nucleotide ribosomal RNA is filed under the name uncultured Bacillus sp. RNAcentral describes it as "bacterial SSU rRNA". It matches the Rfam family "Bacterial small subunit ribosomal RNA", at positions 496 to 795 of the family's 1533-position model. The record is from RNAcentral. Lineage: Bacteria; Bacillati; Bacillota; Bacilli; Caryophanales; Bacillaceae.